This 63-nucleotide transfer RNA is filed under the name Fukomys damarensis (Damara mole-rat). It matches the Rfam family "tRNA", at positions 5 to 66 of the family's 71-position model. Rfam says of the family: Transfer RNA (tRNA) molecules are approximately 80 nucleotides in length. Lineage: Eukaryota; Metazoa; Chordata; Mammalia; Rodentia; Bathyergidae. The record is from Rfam by way of RNAcentral.
UUGUAGCUCAGUGGUAGAGUAUGUGCUUAGCAUGCAAGAGGCCCUGGGUCUGAUCCCCAGCAA